AACGAACGCUGGCGGCAUGCCUAACACAUGCAAGUCGAACGAGACCUUCGGGUCUAGUGGCGCACGGGUGCGUAACGCGUGGGAACCUGCCCUUAGGUUCGGAAUAACUCCCCGAAAGGGGUGCUAAUACCGGAUAAUGUCUUCGGCCCAAAGAUUUAUCGCCUUUGGAGGGGCCCGCGUUGGAUUAGCUAGUUGUUAGGGUAAAAGCUUACCAAGGCGACGAUCCAUAGCUGGUCUGAGAGGAUGAUCAGCGACACUGGGACUGAGACACGGCCCAGACUCCUACGGGAGGCAGCAGUGGGGAAUAUUGGACAAUGGGCGAAAGCCUGAUCCAGCAAUGCCGCGUGAGUGAUGAAGGCCUUAGGGUUGUAAAGCUCUUUUACCCGGGAUGAUAAUGACAGUACCGGGAGAAUAAGCUCCGGCUAACUCCGUG
This 433-nucleotide ribosomal RNA is filed under the name uncultured bacterium. RNAcentral describes it as "partial 16S ribosomal RNA". It matches the Rfam family "Bacterial small subunit ribosomal RNA", at positions 29 to 507 of the family's 1533-position model. The record is from RNAcentral.